GAUGAAGAACGCAGCGAAAUGCGAUACGUAAUGUGAAUUGCAGAAUUCAGUGAAUCAUCGAAUCUUUGAACGCACAUUGCGCCCGCCAGUAUUCUGGCGGGCAUGCCUGUUCGAGCGUCAUUUCAACCCUCAAGCACAGCUUGGUGUUGGGACUCGCGUUAAUUCGCGUUCCUCAAAUUGAUUGGCGGUCACGUCGAGCUUCCAUAGCGUAGUAGUAAAACCCUCGUUACUGGUAAUCGUCGCGGCCACGCCGUUAAACCCCAACUUCUGAAUGUUGACCUCGGAUCAGGUAGGAAUACCCGCUGAACUUAAGCAUAUCAAUAAGCGGAGGA
Molecule: unclassified non-coding RNA, 332 nt
Filed under: soil metagenome
Description: partial contains 5.8S ribosomal RNA, internal transcribed spacer 2, and large subunit ribosomal RNA
Rfam family: 5.8S ribosomal RNA (bases 1-120)
Source: RNAcentral